AUUGAACGCUGGCGGAAUGCUUUACACAUGCAAGUCGAACGGUAGAGGGGGCAACCCCUCGAGAGUGGCGAACGGGUGAGUAAUAUAUCGGAACGUGCCCAGUCGUGGGGGAUAACGUAGCGAAAGUUACGCUAAUACCGCAUACGAUCUAAGGAUGAAAGCGGGGGAUCGCAAGACCUCGCGCGAUUGGAGCGGCCGAUAUCAGAUUAGGUAGUUGGUGGGGUAAAGGCUCACCAAGCCAACGAUCUGUAGCUGGUCUGAGAGGUCGACCAGCCACACUGGAACUGUGACACGGUCCAGACUCCUACGGGAGGCAGCAGUGGGGAAUUUUGGACAAUGGACGCAAGUCUGAUUUAGCCAUUCCGCGUGCAGGAUGAAGGCCCUCGGGUUGUAAACUGCUUUUGUACGGAACGAAAAGGUCUCUCUUAAUACGGGGGACUCAUGACGGUACCGUAAGAAUAAGCACCGGCUAACUACGUGCCAGCCGCCGCAGUAA
Molecule: ribosomal RNA, 496 nt
Filed under: uncultured bacterium
Lineage: Bacteria
Description: partial 16S ribosomal RNA
Rfam family: Bacterial small subunit ribosomal RNA
Source: RNAcentral